This 488-nucleotide ribosomal RNA is filed under the name uncultured bacterium. RNAcentral describes it as "bacterial SSU rRNA". It matches the Rfam family "Bacterial small subunit ribosomal RNA", at positions 28 to 512 of the family's 1533-position model. The record is from RNAcentral.
GAUGAACGCUAGCGGCAGGCCUAAUACAUGCAAGUCGAGGGGCAGCGGGUCCAGCAAUGGAUGCCGGCGACCGGCGCACGGGUGCGUAACACGUAUACAAUCUGCCUUUAACAGGGGGAUAGCCCGGAGAAAUCCGGAUUAAUACCCCAUAAUAUAUUGAGUGGCAUCUCUUGAUAUUGAAAGCUCCGGCGGUUAAAGAUGAGUAUGCGCCUGAUUAGUUAGUUGGUGAGGUAACGGCUCACCAAGACGACGAUCAGUAGGGGAUCUGAGAGGACUACCCCCCACACGGAUACUGAGACACGGAUCCGACUCCUACGGGAGGCAGCAGUAAGGAAUAUUGGACAAUGCCCGCAAGGGUGAUCCAGCCAUGCCGCGUGCAGGAAGACGGCCCUAUGGGUUGUAAACUGCUUUUACACCGGAGAAAACCCCCGCUCGUGAGCGGGGCUGAUAGUAUGGUGAGAAUAAGCAGCGGCUAACUUCGUGCCAGC